UGCUAGUCGCACGAGUUCAGACUCGUGGCGAAUAGCUCAGUAACACGUGGCCAAACUACCCUUCGGAGCUCCAUACCCUCGGGAAACUGAGGCUAAUAGAGCAUACCACAAUCCAGCUGGAAUGAGGAUUGUGUCAAACGCUCCGGCGCCGAAGGAUGUGGCUGCGGCCGAUUAGGUAGACGGUGGGGUAACGGCCCACCGUGCCAAUAAUCGGUACGGGUCAUGAGAGUGAGAACCCGGAGACGGAAUCUGAGACAAGAUUCCGGGCCCUACGGGGCGCAGCAGGCGCGAAACCUUUACACUGCACGCCAGUGCGAUAAGGGGAUCCCAAGUGCGCAGGCAUAGAGCCUGCGCUUUUGUACACCGUAGGGAGGUGUACGAAUAAGGGCUGGGCAAGACCGGUGCCAGCCGCCGCGGUAAUACCGGCAGCCCGAGUGAUGGCCGAUUUUAUUGGGCCUAAAGCGUCCGUAGCUGGCCGCGCAAGUCCAUCGGAAAAUCCACCCGCCCAACGGGUGGGCGUCCGGUGGAAACUGCGUGGCUUGGGACCGGAAGGCGCGACGGGUACGUCCGGGGUAGGAGUGAAAUCCCGUAAUCCUGGACGGACCGCCGAUGGCGAAAGCACGUCGCGAGGACGGAUCCGACAGUGAGGGACGAAAGCCAGGGUCUCGAACCGGAUUAGAUACCCGGGUAGUCCUGGCCGUAAACAAUGUCUGUUAGGUGUGGCUCCCACUACGAGUGGGUGCUGUGCCGUAGGGAAGCCGCUAAACAGACCGCCUGGGAAGUACGUCCGCAAGGAUGAA
Molecule: ribosomal RNA, 800 nt
Filed under: Halorubrum sp.
Lineage: Archaea; Methanobacteriati; Methanobacteriota; Halobacteria; Halobacteriales; Haloferacaceae
Description: bacterial SSU rRNA
Rfam family: Archaeal small subunit ribosomal RNA
Source: RNAcentral